CUUCGAGUUCACUUCAGAGUGAAUAACGAAACCUAAGAAUUUGUAUGAAAUUGCGGACGAAGGAUGAAGAAGCCCAUGGAUUGAACAUCAACACAGGUAGAUAGUUAUGCUGAAAUAUCUGAAUUUAUAACUACCGAGUUCACUGAAUAUAUGCAUUGGUGUAAACAAAUUGAUGUCUCUGUAGUCUUUAUAAGUAAUUGGGUAGACUCUUUGAGCUAUGAUGUCUCGUGGUAAACGAGAACCCUCAGGGAAGAUAUAGGGUUGAUCAUCAAAGCAGCCCAAAAUCGGGGUAUAUGCGGAAAAACGCCUAAUCCGAAAACGCCUGAAAAUUUUCGGCGGCCUAGGCGCCGCCUUUUAUAACUCAGCGUAGAUGUACAACUUUGUCAUGGUUUGCGGUGUCAUUGGUUUCUUUUUUGGUAAAGUUUGUGGAUUCAAGUGCCACAUCAUGGUAAUGAAUGUAGCAUGUAAUUGUCAGGCAGUGUCGAUCAUAUGACAUAUUAGUUGUUUUUCAUCAGUCCUAAAAUCAAGGGUAGUAUUUAUGGGAAGGGACGGCGCAUGAUACUUGUAUAUGGAGGUUGGAUGGGAAGGGAUGGUGUGCAUGAUUUUAGAGUAUUGAACAAGGCAGUGCGAGAUCCAUCAUUCAAUUUUCCAUUACCUCCUCCAGGAAUUACGGACGGGCAUGGAGAUGCAUUUCCUUUAGAUCCAAUUUACAGCAGUUAUAAUUUACUUGAUACCGAAAAUGGUGAGCCAUUCACAGCAAUGGGAAGGCAAAAACCGGAGCUGAAUUAUCCCAAGAUGAUGCAGUUUUCACCGCUAUAGUUUCUGCACUGGUGGAAAAGUAUGUGAAAGUAGUGGUGAUUAAGGAGAUAAAAGGGUCACAUUAUAUGUUGCAGCUUAAGAAUUGGGUAAGGAUGAAUUAGCGGCGGCAGAUAAAUACGAAGACGAAGAAGAAGAAUCCAACGAGAAAGUCAUUAACUUCUUUUCGCCUAAUAAAUAAUACUUAAAACAACACUAUGUGAUUAGCUUCCAUUUCUCAGCUACCACACCUGCCGUUGCUGAGGUUCGCAUCGGUUAGAUUUACUAUUAACUAGUCUUCAUAGAUUACAACUUCAUGACAACUGAAUUUUUAACUAGUCUUUAAGAAUUACAACUUCAUGACAAAUUUAUUCCUUCAAUCACCAUCUGUAGGUGAGAUUGGGGAACAGAUGAUGCCUGAAAACAACUAUUUAACAGUUUGUAAUGCUAAGUGGGAUUUUUUCUCUUCCACUUGGUCGGUUUUAAUGAAUGCUUUU
Long non-coding RNA from Papaver somniferum (opium poppy), 1292 nucleotides. RefSeq lists it as uncharacterized. Lineage: Eukaryota; Viridiplantae; Streptophyta; Magnoliopsida; Ranunculales; Papaveraceae. The transcript has 5 exons. The record is from RefSeq and is a predicted model, not a curated record.